AGAGUUUGAUCAUGGCUCAGAUUAAACGCUGGCGGCAUGCCUUACACAUGCAAGUCGAACGGCAGCACGGGGGCAACCCUGGUGGCGAGUGGCGAACGGGUGAGUAAAGCAUCGGAACGUGCCCUGGAGUGGGGGAUAACGUAGCGAAAGUUACGCUAAUACCGCAUAUUCUGUGAGCAGGAAAGCAGGGGAUCGCAAGACCUUGCGCUCUGGGAGCGGCCGAUGUCGGAUUAGCUAGUUGGUGGGGUAAAGGCCUACCAAGGCGACGAUCCGUAGCGGGUCUGAGAGGAUGAUCCGCCACACUGGGACUGAGACACGGCCCAGACUCCUACGGGAGGCAGCAGUGGGGAAUUUUGGACAAUGGGCGAAAGCCUGAUCCAGCCAUGCCGCGUGAGUGAAGAAGGCCUUCGGGUUGUAAAGCUCUUUCGGUGGGGAAGAAAUUGCACGGGUUAAUAGCCUGUGUAGAUGACGGUACCGGCGGAAUAAGCACCGGCUAACUACGUG
RNAcentral lists this ribosomal RNA (504 nucleotides) under uncultured bacterium. Its description in RNAcentral is "bacterial SSU rRNA". It matches the Rfam family "Bacterial small subunit ribosomal RNA", at positions 8 to 507 of the family's 1533-position model. The record is from RNAcentral.